Meloidogyne enterolobii is the source of this 97-nucleotide non-coding RNA. The record is from the annotation of a GenBank genome assembly. NCBI's taxonomy places the organism in Eukaryota, Metazoa, Nematoda, Chromadorea, Rhabditida, Meloidogynidae.
GUCCCGGUAGCUCAGGUGGCAGAGCACCUGUACGUGAUGAACGAAAGCUCCUAGCAAUAACUGCCAGGAGGUCGCAGGAUCGAGCCUGCCCGGGAUU